This is a non-coding RNA of Podarcis lilfordi (Lilford's wall lizard), 71 nucleotides long. NCBI's taxonomy places the organism in Eukaryota, Metazoa, Chordata, Lepidosauria, Squamata, Lacertidae. The record is from the annotation of a GenBank genome assembly.
GGCUAUAGCUCCACAGCAGAGCAUGUGCUUUGUGUGCAGAAGGUCCUAGGUUCAAUCCCCAGUGGCAAACA